AUGCAUUGGGUGUCUUGGAAGGAGCUUGCAACACCCAAGUGCAAAGGUGGGAUGGGUUUCAGACACCCACAUCUGUUCAACCUUGCCAUGUUGGGGAAGCAUGGAUGGCGUUUUUUGACGAACCCUAAUUCCCUUUGUGCAAGAGUUUUGAGGGGACGGUAUUUUCCUGACACGGAUUUUGUGCAUGCUGCCUUACCUAAGUCGGCCUUGGCCACUUGGAAAGCUAUUAUAGCAGGAAGAGAAGCCCUUCGAUGCGGCUUGAUCUCCCGUGUUGGAGAUGGCAACACUAUCGAUGUCUGUACCGAUAAAUGGAUUCCAAGUACUAUAUCUAUGUCACCUAUCUCAAGACCACAUAACACUGGUAUCCAAAGGGUGACAGACCUCAUUGAUACAUCAAACUGUUCUUGGAAGCAUGAGGUGGUCAGGGAGACUUUCAUUGCCCCAGAUGUUGAGGCCAUUCUUAAUAUUCCCAUCCGGCAAGGGGGAGGCGAUGAUUAUCUUGCUUGGGCAUUCGAAAGAUCAGGCAACUACACUGUAAAGUCGGCGUACCAUGCUCUUGUGACUCAGAACGAGCGUUUGGCUCUAGAUGAAGGGACGGCUACCGGAACCUCAAAUGAUGAACAACAGAUGUGGAAAUCCUUGUGGAAAUUGAAUGUUAUCCCAUAA
This 666-nucleotide ribosomal RNA is filed under the name Triticum aestivum (bread wheat). Its description in RNAcentral is "partial small subunit ribosomal RNA". The record is from RNAcentral. Lineage: Eukaryota; Viridiplantae; Streptophyta; Magnoliopsida; Poales; Poaceae.